This 206-nucleotide ribosomal RNA is filed under the name uncultured bacterium. Its description in RNAcentral is "partial 16S ribosomal RNA". It matches the Rfam family "Bacterial small subunit ribosomal RNA", at positions 568 to 774 of the family's 1533-position model. The record is from RNAcentral.
CGUGUAGGCGGCCAGGUAGGUCUGCUGUGAAAACUCGAGGCUCAACCUCGAGAUGUCGGCAGAAACCAUCUGGCUAGAGUCCGGAAGAGGAGAGCGGAAUUCCUGGUGUAGCGGUGAAAUGCGCAGAUAUCAGGAAGAACACCCGUGGCGAAGGCGGCUCUCUGGGACGGUACUGACGCUGAGACGCGAAAGCGUGGGAGCGAACA